UCCUAUCCUAGGAUCAAAGGCCUUUCAUAAUAUAUGUCAAACAUAUAAAACUGGACGGUCCACAAUUCAAUUUAAAAUUUGCAUACGAUCACCAGAUGCAUAUAUCUGAUGAAUUAAGAAAUCGAACAACUAUAGGGAAUUUGUUUUAUAUUUUUGCUCACUUACACAAAGGAACAAAACAAAACAAAAAAGACAACAUUGGGUUCAUCGCUACUCGAAUGUUUAAGAUAAGUGAUCUUGAAACACGAGUAGAUGUUGAACUCGGACAUUAUGGAUGUCAUUUUUCGUGAAUUUGAUGCCUAAAAUACGGUCAUAGUCAAAUCACAUUUAAAACGCAAAACAAAAAAACACCCUCUCCAAAUUUUGUUUAAUGCAGUUUUUGUCAUUCUAGAUCCGGUGGUGGGAGAAAAUUAAAGAUUCACUUGCGCCUUUUUCAAAUGUUACGCUAGAAAAAUUGGCUUAAAAAAGUACAAAAAUACUUAUAUCUUUUGAUAGAAACAUCGUACAGCUUUGAUGUCUUCUGACGAAAUGUGUAUUUUGGCAAUAUGUACAAUUGCUCUGAACAUAGUAGGCUUGAAAAAAUGAUAGUUGUUGACAUAUGACAAAAAAACCGAUUUCGGACUUUUUAUUUCUUCAAUAAGUUAUAUCUCCUCAGAUUGAAGAGAUAGAAAAAACUGCUCUUCGAGAAAGUUGUCGGGGUUUUUACCUUCUUCAACUUUGCAGAACAUUUUAUUUCGAUAUCUUUUGAAAUAAAAAAGUUAGGUGCUGAAAUAUGAAGUAUUUUAAGAUUUGGCGUUUAGGACACUUUUGCAUAUAACGCGGCUUGAACUCACGAGCAAAUGUCUAGAAGACAUGAAGACUCUAUCUUGGAUGGUUUUUGAGUUAUUAAUUUUUUCCACUUAAUGUUGGUCCUCGGACCAUUGUGCAUUCGUCGAGCAGACAUAGUAAAAUUGACUCAAAAAAUGUUGGCCAAAACUUGCAACAUUUUCGAGCUUACAACGCAUCAUAGUUGUUGCAAAUCUGCAGAUGUUUUAUUAAUCUUUUAGCUCGCUGAAUAUCAUUUGCAUUUCUGUUCGCCAUAUUGAUAAGUUUCUUUUCGGGAAACGUUUGCUUAAUUAGCGGAUAAUUGCGCAGAGGGACUAGGAAAGGGUGGCUGCGGAUGGAAUUUUCGACUGUACGGGCCUGUUAAUAAUUGCUUUGGUAACUGCAAGAGUAUUCCUUUGCCACACCAGAGGCCACAUCUCCAGCACUUUGCGGGUCACAGCGCAAACACGACGACAACCGUUUGAGAAAUCCAGCUCCCUAGAUGCAACAGUGGUCCUCUAAAAUGCUGCUCCCUUAGCGGUUUCAAUCAGCGAAGAACGAC
Long non-coding RNA from Aedes albopictus (Asian tiger mosquito), 1366 nucleotides. RefSeq lists it as uncharacterized. The transcript is spliced from 2 exons. The record is from RefSeq and is a predicted model, not a curated record. NCBI's taxonomy places the organism in Eukaryota, Metazoa, Arthropoda, Insecta, Diptera, Culicidae.